RNAcentral lists this ribosomal RNA (434 nucleotides) under uncultured bacterium. Its description in RNAcentral is "partial 16S ribosomal RNA". It matches the Rfam family "Bacterial small subunit ribosomal RNA", at positions 29 to 507 of the family's 1533-position model. The record is from RNAcentral.
AGCGAACGCUGGCGGCAGGCCUAACACAUGCAAGUCGAACGAACCUUUCGGGGUUAGUGGCGGACGGGUGAGUAACACGUGGGAACGUGCCUUUAGGUUCGGAAUAACUCAGGGAAACUUGUGCUAAUACCGAAUGUGCCCUUCGGGGGAAAGAUUAAUCGCCUUUAGAGCGGCCCGCGUCUGUUUAGCUAGUUGGGUGAGGUAAUGGCUCACCAAGGCGACGAUCAGUAGCGGGUCUGAGAGGAUGAUCAGCCACAUUGGGACUGAGACACGGCCCAAACUCCUACGGGAGGCAGCAGUGGGGAAUCUUGCGCAAUGGGCGAAAGCCUGACGCAGCCAUGCCGCGUGAAUGAUGAAGGUCUUAGGAUUGUAAAAUUCUUUCACCGGGGACGAUAAUGACGGUACCCGGAGAAGAAGCCCCGGCUAACUUCGUG